UACGGAGGGUGCAAGCGUUAUCCGGAUUUAUUGGGUUUAAAGGGUCCGUAGGCGGAAUACUAAGUCAGUGGUGAAAUCCUGCAGCUCAACUGUAGAAUUGCCAUUGAUACUGGUUUUCUUGAAUAUGUGCGAAGUGGGCGGAAUAUGACAUGUAGCGGUGAAAUGCUUAGAUAUGUCAUAGAACACCGAUUGCGAAGGCAGCUCACUAGUCCAUUAUUGACGCUGAGGGACGAAAGCGUGGGGAUCAAAC
RNAcentral lists this ribosomal RNA (250 nucleotides) under uncultured archaeon. RNAcentral describes it as "partial 16S ribosomal RNA". It matches the Rfam family "Bacterial small subunit ribosomal RNA", at positions 524 to 773 of the family's 1533-position model. The record is from RNAcentral.